Molecule: ribosomal RNA, 892 nt
Filed under: uncultured Bacteroidota bacterium
Lineage: Bacteria; Pseudomonadati; Bacteroidota
Description: bacterial SSU rRNA
Rfam family: Bacterial small subunit ribosomal RNA
Source: RNAcentral
GAUGAACGCUAGCGGCAGGCUUAACACAUGCAAGUCGAGGGGUAACAGAGAAAAGCUUGCUUUUUUGCUGACGACCGGCGCACGGGUGCGUAACACGUAUGCAAUCUACCUUUUGCUAAGGGAUAGCCCAGAGAAAUUUGGAUUAAUACCUUAUAGUAUGAUGACUUGGCAUCAAGAUAUCAUUAAAGGUUACGGCAAAAGAUGAGCAUGCGUUCUAUUAGCUAGUUGGUGUGGUAACGGCAUACCAAGGCAACGAUAGAUAGGGGUCCUGAGAGGGAGAUCCCCCACACUGGUACUGAGACACGGACCAGACUCCUACGGGAGGCAGCAGUGAGGAAUAUUGGACAAUGGAGGCAACUCUGAUCCAGCCAUGCCGCGUGCAGGAAGACUGCCCUAUGGGUUGUAAACUGCUUUUAUACAGGAAGAAACACCUCUACGUGUAGAGAUUUGACGGUACUGUAAGAAUAAGGAUCGGCUAACUCCGUGCCAGCAGCCGCGGUAAUACGGAGGAUCCAAGCGUUAUCCGGAAUCAUUGGGUUUAAAGGGUCCGUAGGUGGAUAAUUAAGUCAGAGGUGAAAUCCUGCAGCUUAACUGUAGAAUUGCCUUUGAUACAGGUUGUCUUGAGUUAUUAUGAAGUGGUUAGAAUAUGUAGUGUAGCGGUGAAAUGCAUAGAUAUUACAUAGAAUACCAAUUGCGAAGGCAGAUCACUAAUAAUAUACUGACACUGAUGGACGAAAGCGUGGGGAGCGAACAGGAUUAGAUACCCUGGUAGUCCACGCCGUAAACGAUGGUCACUAGCUGUUCGGGUUUCGAUCUGAGUGGCUAAGCGAAAGUGAUAAGUGACCCACCUGGGGAGUACGUUCGCAAGAAUGAAACUCAAAGGAAUUGACGG